UAGUGUGAGACUAGUACGCUUCAGAGGUCGUAAAAGCUGAAUUCGUCGUAUUGCUACUGGAGAGUGGGAAGGUCGUGGAAACUGAAUACGUAGUGUUUCUACUGGAUCGUGGGAAGACCGUGGUAGCUGAAUUCGUCGUGUUUCUACUGGAUCGUGGGAAGGUCGUGGCAGCUGAAUUCGUCGUGUUUCUAUUGGAUUGUGAUUGUGGGACGGUCGUAGAAGCUGAAUUCGUCGUAUUUUUACUGGAUAGCGAGAAGAUCGUAUAAACUAAAUUCGUCGUAUUUCUACUGGGCAAUUUUGUCCAUGUCUGGAGUGGUAGCAGAUGGAUAUCGGCAGCUCACAUUUGUUGGUCCUAAUAUCGUCAAGGAGUAGUCUCCAAGUUCUACUAAACAGGUACAAUUUAUCAAGAAUGAAAGAAUGAGAUGAACUACUCUAUAAAGUCUUAAACUAUCAAAGAAGGCCCAGGACACAAGACUGCAGUUGUAUGAUCACACUCAGACACAGACAGACACGCUAAGGUUGAUGGAUUGAGUUGAAGAUCAGAGAGAAACGAUAAUAGUCAAGAGGACAAAGAAGUGUUUGACAAAGCCAGGUGGAGGAAAUCUGUCUGAAACAUCGACCCCACAUAAAAGCGGAAAAAGCAGUAGUAUGAAGGGAGUUGUGCUCAAAUGACUUGAGCCUGGUUCUUGCACAGCGACAUCCACAAAGUUUCCUUGGGACACUGCUACGAUGGAGGAAAGUAAACUGGACAGCUUUUGGUGUUUAGAUUUUUUUUUCUGCCCUCCCUAGGAACGUGUAAAAUUUCGAUCUUCAUGGAACAACUACUUUAGUGAUAAAAGGCAAGAUAUUUAAUGGAAACUACUUUUUAAGCCUUGUGUACUUGGACAGUAAAAUUGCAUAGACCUAUUGUACAUUUAUACCAGAUUUUUCCUAUCUUGCUCCAGUCUGUUUAAGGGGAAAACUUUAGUAACCUAAAUAAUACACUGAAAGACCUAU
Long non-coding RNA from Macrobrachium nipponense, 996 nucleotides. RefSeq lists it as uncharacterized. The record is from RefSeq and is a predicted model, not a curated record. The transcript has 3 exons. NCBI's taxonomy places the organism in Eukaryota, Metazoa, Arthropoda, Malacostraca, Decapoda, Palaemonidae.